AGUGAACGCUGGCGGUAGGCCUAACACAUGCAAGUCGAACGGCAGCACAGUAAGAGCUUGCUCUUACGGGUGGCGGGUGGCGGACGGGUGAGGAAUACAUCGGAAUCUACUUUUUCGUGGGGGAUAACGUAGGGAAACUUACGCUAAUACCGCAUACGACCUACGGGUGAAAGCAGGGGAUCUUCGCACCUUGCGCGAUUGAAUUAGCCGAUGUCGGAUUAGCUAGUUGGCGGGGUAAAGGCCCACCAAGGCGACGAUCCGUAGCUGGUGGGAGAGGAUGAUCAGCCACACUGGAACUGAGACACGGUCCAGACUCCUACGGGAGGCAGCAGUGGGGAACAUUGGACAAUGGGCGCAAGCAUGAUCCAGCCAUACCGCGUGGGUGAAGAAGGCCUUCGGGUUGUAAAGCCCUUUUGUUGGGAAAGAAAAGCAGCAGGUUAAUACCACGCUGUUCUGACGGUACCCAAAGAAUAAGCACCGGCUAACUUCGUG
RNAcentral lists this ribosomal RNA (492 nucleotides) under uncultured bacterium. Its description in RNAcentral is "partial 16S ribosomal RNA". It matches the Rfam family "Bacterial small subunit ribosomal RNA", at positions 29 to 507 of the family's 1533-position model. The record is from RNAcentral.